Molecule: non-coding RNA, 82 nt
Filed under: chicken gut metagenome
Description: TPP riboswitch (THI element)
Rfam family: TPP riboswitch aptamer (THI element)
About the family: Vitamin B(1) in its active form thiamin pyrophosphate (TPP) is an essential coenzyme that is synthesised by coupling of pyrimidine and thiazole moieties in bacteria. The previously detected thiamin-regulatory element, thi box was extended, resulting in a new, highly conserved RNA secondary structure, the THI element, which is widely distributed in eubacteria and also occurs in some archaea.
Source: RNAcentral
GAUGCUGGGGGAGCCGUCAGGCUGAGAAAGUAGAACUUGACCCUUUGAACUUGAUGCGGUUCAUACCGCCGUAAGGAAAGCA